UACAGAGGUCUCAAGCGUUGUUCGGAUUCAUUGGGCGUAAAGGGUGCGUAGGUGGCGCGCUAAGUCAGGUGUGAAAUUUCGGAGCUUAACUCCGAAACUGCAUUUGAUACUGGCGUGCUUGAGGACUGGAGAGGAGACUGGAAUUCACGGUGUAGCAGUGAAAUGCGUAGAGAUCAUGAGGAAGACCAGUGGCGAAGGCGGGUCUCUGGACAGUUCCUGACACUGAGGCACGAAGGCCAGGGGAGCAAACGGG
Molecule: ribosomal RNA, 253 nt
Filed under: uncultured bacterium
Lineage: Bacteria
Description: partial 16S ribosomal RNA
Rfam family: Bacterial small subunit ribosomal RNA
Source: RNAcentral